GACGAACGCUGGCGGCGUGCUUAACACAUGCAAGUCGAACGUAAAGGCCCUGCUUUUGUAGGGUGCUCGAGUGGCGAACGGGUGAGUAACACGUGAGUAACCUGCCCUUGACUUUGGGAUAACUUCAGGAAACUGGGGCUAAUACCGGAUAGGAGCUCCUGCUGCAUGGUGGGGGUUGGAAAGUUUCGGCGGUUGGGGAUGGACUCGCGGCUUAUCAGCUUGUUGGUGGGGUAGUGGCUUACCAAGGCUUUGACGGGUAGCCGGCCUGAGAGGGUGACCGGCCACAUUGGGACUGAGAUACGGCCCAGACUCCUACGGGAGGCAGCAGUGGGGAAUAUUGCACAAUGGGCGGAAGCCUGAUGCAGCAACGCCGCGUGCGGGAUGACGGCCUUCGGGUUGUAAACCGCUUUCGCCUGUGACGAAGCGUGAGUGACGGUAAUGGGUAAAGAAGCACCGGCUAACUACGUG
This 468-nucleotide ribosomal RNA is filed under the name uncultured bacterium. RNAcentral describes it as "partial 16S ribosomal RNA". It matches the Rfam family "Bacterial small subunit ribosomal RNA", at positions 28 to 507 of the family's 1533-position model. The record is from RNAcentral.